GGGACUUAGAUUUCCCUCGCCCAGACACGGGUCACCGGGGCCCCCCUCUGGAGCCAGGCCUGGAGUUGGGGCUUGAAGGCGAGCAUCUGGUGGCCGGGCCUUCGCCCAUGGGGCCCGGCUGGGCACAGCC
Long non-coding RNA from Syngnathus acus (greater pipefish), 130 nucleotides. RefSeq lists it as uncharacterized. NCBI's taxonomy places the organism in Eukaryota, Metazoa, Chordata, Actinopteri, Syngnathiformes, Syngnathidae. The transcript is spliced from 2 exons. The record is from RefSeq and is a predicted model, not a curated record.